AAGCCCCCUUGUAUAUUAAAAUUGGGAAGAUACAGAGAUACAGCAUAGCCCCUGCACAAGGAUGAUAUGUGAAUUUUCAGUAUUCCAUAUUUUU
RNAcentral lists this small nuclear RNA (94 nucleotides) under Echinops telfairi (small Madagascar hedgehog). Lineage: Eukaryota; Metazoa; Chordata; Mammalia; Afrosoricida; Tenrecidae. The record is from RNAcentral.